GAUCAAGAAAACGCUUACGAUAAGAUGUGGUAGAUAAGCAUAUGCAAGAGUCUGGAUGACCAAGACUUUAACAGACUUCCGCCAAAUUUGAGCCCGCCAUCGACAACAUGAGCAGGAAAAGAGUGGCAAAGUGAUGAAAACGAAGAUCCUGAAGCUAAUACAGCCAGAAAAACGGAUAGUGACGAUUGAACUAAGGAAAAUAUAAAAUGCUGAAAUUAAAAGGAAGAAAAAAGAAAUUCAAGCCGAAAACAAGAAGAAAUAAAGAAGCAAUAAUAGACUCAAACCAGCAAUCUUUGCAAAUGCAAGAAUGUAGAACCCAGCAGUAAUUACGUGCCCGAGUCCUGCAGUUCGAAUGUUCCAGUACUCGUCGGCAACACUUCUGGACCUAGCAGUAUGCUUAAGACUACUACAUCAAUCAGCAACACACCUGUACCAGUCAGCAACUUGAAAGAACCCUGCUAUACUCGUGUGUCUGUGCCAUACAAUAACUCAGUUGUACUUAAUGGUCAAGAUGUGUUAACCUCUGUCAGCAACACCUCAGUACCUUGCAGUUAAAAUAAGCCUGUGCCAGUAAGCAACUCGAAAGAACCCUACUGUCAUACUCGUGUGCUUGUGCCAAAUAACAAAAUUUUGAAUGUAAUUCUUUGAGAUUUAUUUUUAAUCAACUGCUCUAAUAAUGAUGACUGUGCUAUUCAAAAUCUCAACACUCUUAGCCUAUGGUCUUUUCCCAAAGAUUGAGUGUUUGAUGAUUUGUGGAUUCAAAGGAGAGUAUAUAUAUACAUUAUUUGCUGUGGUUAGGAAUUACCAUAGUGCUUAACAGUAAUCUUAUUACAGUUUAUUUCUAGUCAUCAUGAUCUAUUGUUUUAAAAUAUUAAUUAAGCUCUGAUUUUAAUUGUAUAAUUUCAUUUUGAUUAUGUUUAUAACCUAAAUUCAAAUCUUUGUCAGAAAUUAAUCUGUUAUGUUAAUAAAUAUUUUGCUUUUUACAUAUCUAUUCGCAUGGGGGGAAAAUGGAUGCGCAUCGAUGGGCUGAUAUAAUUUUUUAUCUUUCUAUUUCAAAUUGGUAUAAUUGUCAAUUUUGUGAACUAUUACAUGGUAACUAUUGUAAGUUUCAUAUAAUGUCCAAAAAUUGUUACAGAUAUAGCACCCCCUUGUAAUUAACCUUUUACAAAUUUACUCUAUGGGACAUAAACUGACAAAUCAUUGGAAAAAAUUCAACUCUACUCCAUGAAAUGUAUUUGAAUUUUAAUAUCACAUGUAUAAUGUGUCUAUUUUUUAUCAUUUUAAAAAAAAAUUUGCAUCCUUAGGAUCAUUAUGAAUUUGUGUUAAUUACUUAUUGAACUACAUAUUACAUAUAUUAGAAAUAUUUAAAACUACUAUACAUCUGUAUAAUCUCCUUUGUUAGUUAUGUGAUUAUUAUUGAAUGUACUUGUCAACUGAUGAAAAAUUUAAGCUGUUACACAGGCAUAAUUAUGUAUUGUUAAAUACAGUUCCAAUUUUCAAAUACCUGUCAGUUAUUGUGUUCAUUAUUUUUUCAAUCUUGUAUUCCGUUAUAGGAGUUACUAAAUAUGCAGGCCACAAGUAGACUCCUGUAUGUAAUUUUUUUGCCUUGGCUGUUGAUGAGGCGUAUUUUCGCUAAAGACGUAUUUCCUUAUUGAGGCGUACUUUCUACAAUUGGAGGGUUUUUGUACGGGUGUAUUUUUGCUAGAGACGUAUUUCCUAGUUGAGGCGUAUUUUCUUUUUAAAGACGUACUUAUUAAUCUAGACGUACUAAUUUGCAUAAUUCAAGCUAAAUUACGCCAGUAUUUUUCAUAGGAUUUGUUGUUUUUUGUACGGGUGUAUUUUUGCUAGAGACGUAUUUCCUAGUUGAGGCGUAUUUUCUUUUUAAAGGCGUACUUAUUAAUCUAGACGUACUAAUUUGCAUAAUUCAAGCUAAAGUACGCCUCAGGUACGCCAGUAUUUUCCAUAGGAUUUGUUGUUAAAAAUCUAGCUGGACUUUCAGAAUUAUGGGUACGCCAGGAAAUUUUAAAAAUUACGUGAGCAAAUUUUCG
Ostrea edulis (European flat oyster) is the source of this 2048-nucleotide long non-coding RNA. RefSeq lists it as uncharacterized. The record is from RefSeq and is a predicted model, not a curated record. Lineage: Eukaryota; Metazoa; Mollusca; Bivalvia; Ostreida; Ostreidae. The transcript has 3 exons.